UGACCGAUUUAUCUAAACCUAAUCUCCGGUUCACUCUUCAAUCUUCAUUCAGUCUUCUUCUUCGCUGCGCCGCUUCGCCGCUUCGGUCUUCCCACUUCCCCUGCAAUUGCCAAAAUUGCCUGCCGUCCCUAAUCCCUUAUCCAAACUCCAAUCUUUGAUCCAGUGCUAUUUCCACACUUGCUCAUCGAUCAAUACCCAAUUUCUUCCCGUUAGAUUUUCCUCCAGGAAUUUGGGCGAUAACCAGUUCACUGACCUACCUCACUGUCAAAGAAUAGCGGCUUAAAUUUAGUGUUUUGCUGAAGGUGAAACUAAGUGCAAAAUGCUCCAGAAUGUUCCACAUCAGAUUGUGCAAUCUCCAGCUAGGCUAGGGUUACCAAAUCCAAAUUCACCUUCUCUUCAAAACACUACUCCGGCUAAGUUUGCCUCCCAAGCCCAGCAAUCUCAUCCACCCAAUCAACAGCCAUAUGCAUCAAGCAUUAUUCCAACUUCUUCAACACUUCUUCCUCUCCUUCCCCCUCUGCCAAGAGCUCAGUCUAUUCUUCUGCAAAUGUCCUCACUUGCCUCAAGACUUUUUGAUGUCUCACCUAAUAGGUCGCAUUGGAUUAGCGCAUUUCGAGGUUCCCUACCCUCCUUCUUGUCUUCCCAAUCCCAACCUUUGACAUCAACUGCACCAGAUUCCUACCCUUCUUCCUCCAAAGAAAUUCUCGCUCUUUUCACAAACCUUCAAACUCAGCUAUUUGAAGCUGUUGCAGAGCUCCAAGAAAUUCUUGAUCUUCAAGAUGGAAAACAGAAACUCUCGCACGAAAUCAGGUCAAAAGAUGCUGCAAUUCUUGCACUUGCAAGCAAGCUCAAAGAAGCUGAGCAGGUUCUUGACAACCUUGUGGAUGAUUACUCGGAUUAUCGCCGUUCAAAACGGUCCAAGUCAGAAGAUGUUGCAGAAGAUUCUUCAACCACCACUGUGGCAUCUCAGCUGAAGCUUUCUGAUAUAUUGUCAUAUGCCCAUAGGAUAAGCUACACUACUUUUGCACCACCAGAAUUUGGUGCUGGACAGGCUCCUCUCCGUGGGGCACUCCCACCUGCUCCACAGGAGGAGCAAAUGCGGGCAUCCCAACUGUACGCUUUUGCUGAUCAUGAUGUUGGUUUACCAAAAACAGAUGAGGAUAAGAAGAAAACUAUAGAGCCAUUGAUCGAAACUCCUGUUGGGCAACCAGCAGAGCCAAAUCCACUGGCCAAUCUUGCUGGAAUGCAGGGUCUACUUCCACCUAAUAUUGCUAUGCCAUCAGGAUGGAAACCUGGAAUGCCCGUGGAGUUGCCCAGUGAUCUACCUAUUCUUCCUCCACCUGGUUGGAAACCUGGUGAUCCAGUGGCACUGCCCCCAUUGGAUUCUCUUCCUAUACCUCCUAGAAUUGAAGAGCAACAACCUCAGCAUAUCCCCCCUCCAAUGCUUACAAAGGCACCCGAGCCUAUACAAGUUCGGCAUGUGCAGCUUGACAUUGACGAUGACAGUAGUGAUUAUAGCAGUGAUGUUGGUAGCUCUGACAGUGAAGAUUAGUCCUUGAACAUUUCUCGCAAUCCGUUCUAGUACUGGUUUUGAUUCUAAGGUGUUAUUGGAAGCCUGGUUGAGUGAGCAUGAUCUUUUAAAUUGACAUUACACUGACAUUACACACUUAUGUAAUGUUUUUAUGUAGAUUCUGAUGCAAUAGAUUUUUAUGUUUUACCUUUGACGUACUUUUGUGAUAAUUGAUCAUCUUCUGGACGGUCGUACAUAUAUUGUGUCUUCCGCAAGAUGAGGAACGAAUGAAAGCAGAAAAGCUGCACCUUUUCCUCAGUCAAUACAUCUAAGUACUCCCAGAAAAUCAGCUGAAUCAGUGCCUUCAUAAAAAAGCAUUUCAGUCUUCGCAGCAUCAAGAGGAAAUUGGGAUUGUCACAGGGAAUUGGGGUUGCGGUGCUUUUGGUGGAGAUCCUCAACUUAAAGCUAUUAUUCAGUGGCUUGCUGCUUCUCAGGCAUUAAGACCUUUCAUCUUGUACCACACAUUUGGUUUGGAGACAUUGGAGGUGCUAGAUCAGGUGACUCGCUGGAUUAUAUCCCAUGAGUGGACUGUUGGAGAACUUUGGAAUAUGAUGGUUGAGUACGGAUCCAAGAGAUUAAAAGGUGAAGCCAGAGUUGGCUUUUUCAGUUGGCUCCUUCCCUUGGUAGAUUCCAAUGAUGCAUGAGCUGUUGGGCAUCACCUCAAUCUUCAUGAGAUUUACUGAGCAUUGACCAAAAUUUCUUCUUUGGUGGGCACUUUCUUGGCUUGGUGCGGCUCAUAUUUGAUUCACUAUGGAAGACUAGCAUAGUGUAAAUGCUUUCACUGUUAGUUGCACUGUGGAAAUAUAGAAUACUCGGCAUAAUUUUUCCCUAUAGGGGUGCGUGGUCUGUGUAUCUGAGGGACAUUUUAUUGUUCGUUAGUGACAAAAAAGAAGUGCAUCUGGAGUUGCUCUGCGCCAAUGGUUGAUUUUGUCUGACCCAAGAUCUCCUUUGCAAUUCACCUGUAAGGGAGAAUGGAUGAGCUCAAGGGCAGGUAAAAUGAAGGCAUUCUAGCUAUUCAUUGAACAAGAAAAUGACAGGAGAGGGGGGGUUGCAUGCACGGAGAUGGAGGGUAUUUACUAUCUGCUGCCCACUGCCCCGGAUUUGAAACUGCUGUGGAAGCAUAUGCGAUCAAACUCUGGCUUGCGACAGCAACUCUGCUGCUAUCAGAAUUUGUUGGUUAGAAAGCUUUGUCCAUAACCAACCUAGUUAUGAGGAUCUAACCCGCAUUCAUGUAAUACCUUUCUUUCUUGUUUAGUGAACGGAGGCUCGUAGAAUUCGCUGAAAGAUAGGAUCAGCUGUUUGGUACGUCUCCUUUUGUACCUAUAAUUAAGUCUAUACACGUUAGGAUGAGGUUCAAAAGUUACCAUUCAUACAAGGACCAUUAAUUUGACA
Coffea arabica (coffee) is the source of this 2962-nucleotide non-coding RNA. The record is from RefSeq and is a predicted model, not a curated record. NCBI's taxonomy places the organism in Eukaryota, Viridiplantae, Streptophyta, Magnoliopsida, Gentianales, Rubiaceae.